GAUCCUAUAGUCAAGUGGUUACGACGAGGCAUUGUGGUUUCGGUGUUCGUCACCUACUGUUCUGCCUAAGCCUGUGUUCGAUUCACAGUAGGGUCA
Naganishia friedmannii is the source of this 96-nucleotide non-coding RNA. The record is from the annotation of a GenBank genome assembly. NCBI's taxonomy places the organism in Eukaryota, Fungi, Basidiomycota, Tremellomycetes, Filobasidiales, Filobasidiaceae.